GAUGAACGCUGACAGAAUGCUUAACACAUGCAAGUCAACUUGAAUUUGGGUUUUUAACUUAGGUUUGGGUGGCGGACGGGUGAGUAACGCGUAAAGAACUUGCCUCACAGUUAGGGACAACAUUUGGAAACGAAUGCUAAUACCUGAUAUUAUGAUAAUAGGGCAUCCCAUAAUUAUGAAAGCUAUAAGCGCUGUGAGAGAGCUUUGCGUCCCAUUAGCUAGUUGGAGAGGUAACGGCUCACCAAGGCGAUGAUGGGUAGCCGGCCUGAGAGGGUGAUCGGCCACAAGGGGACUGAGACACGGCCCUUACUCCUACGGGAGGCAGCAGUGGGGAAUAUUGGACAAUGGACCAAGAGUCUGAUCCAGCAAUUCUGUGUGCACGAUGAGGUUUUUCGGAAUGUAAAGUGCUUUCAGUUGGGAAGAAAGAAAUGACGGUACCAACAGAAGAAGUGACGGCUAAAUACGUGCCAGCAGCCGC
Molecule: ribosomal RNA, 478 nt
Filed under: uncultured bacterium
Lineage: Bacteria
Description: bacterial SSU rRNA
Rfam family: Bacterial small subunit ribosomal RNA
Source: RNAcentral